Long non-coding RNA from Tupaia belangeri chinensis (Chinese tree shrew), 1977 nucleotides. RefSeq lists it as uncharacterized. NCBI's taxonomy places the organism in Eukaryota, Metazoa, Chordata, Mammalia, Scandentia, Tupaiidae. The record is from RefSeq and is a predicted model, not a curated record. The transcript is spliced from 3 exons.
CUUCCGGCACCCGUGGACGCCCCCAACCCUCCAGAUGGUUCCGCGAGACAACUAGUUGGAGACCGUAGCUCACUACGCGCCCACCCACAGUUCCCUUAGUGAACCAGCCUUCCAGCGGCUCGGAGUCCCCAGAAAGCCCCCUGGGGGCUGCGGCGCCUCCUAGUCUGUCCCCGUCUUCUCUGACUCACACUCUCAGCCCUUCGUUUUUUGUGUUUUGAGAGAGGGAGACAGAAGAGUAGAUUCCUGGCUGUUCCGUGGAGCUCAAUCUCCUGCCAUCCUCCUUGGUCACACACAGACUCCCUUGGCUGUCCAGGAUGCUUCUGAGAGUCGUGCAAGUGUGGAUGCUUGGGCGCCUGCAUCAAGGAAGAAAGCGGGUUGAAGGGCUAAGAAAACAGAGGUGGGAACUGGAACCUGAGAAUAAAGGGCGCUGAGCCAGACAAAGACCAAAGAUGGCAAGAGGUGAAGCUUGCUCACCCAUCCCUUGCAGAAUGGGGCCGCUACCGUCUAUGGGAAUAAAUAAUGUUGAUUAGAUUGAUUCUCUUGUUCCCUAACCAUUGGAAAGCAGAUGAGUAAUUGCAGCCCUUCCUGUGACCUAAGGUCCCUGAGUUAGCCCUUUCAUUUGGGAUUUCAUUAGCAUUCUUUUCAUCAGCCAUGGUAAAGCAUAGAAGUCACAGGCCUUUUUUUUUUCUAUUGUCCUCAAAAGAGAAUAUUGAGGCCCCUGCAGGCAGAGGCUGCCACCAGCAGCUGCGUGUCAAUUGGUGACCAGGCGCCUCUGGCAGGCCCAGUCCAGACUUCCUGGGUCAGCCUCAGAAGCCAAAGGAUUUGCCUCCUACACAGAUAUGAGGGACCCACCCCGGAGAUGCAAUUGCCGGGCUGGUCCAGGGAAGGGCCCGGGGCAGAGGAUCCUAAAUGAGGUGGUUGUUCAGUGGUCUGAAGGAGGCUACAUGGAGCUCCGUCCGUAGGAGCACUCAGUUGACCCGCCAUGGUUUCCACAUCUCCCCAGAGCCCUAUGUGCUGGGAAAACCCAGCCCCAGAAAGCUGAAAACAACAAAAUGUUCCUGGGUUAUUUAUAACUGAAAACCAGACCCUGUUGUUAUGUAUGGCCGCUCCACUUUCUCCAAAGAGCUUACAAGAUGAGAGGAAGGGCUCUCUCUCACUCUGGUGAGGAUAAAGGGACCAGGAAUUGGUUCCCCCAGACGUAUGGAGUUGUCACCCAGGUCUUGAGCAACGUCCUUCUCUUGUAAUGUCCCAGAUUGUGAAAGUCUGGGACAUUUUCUUUGUAAGUUUUGAGCAGGGCACUUUCUGUUUGGUGGGAAAAUUUCGUGAAACAUGAAUGAAACAUUUCACUUUUGGUUUCUCUAUUGUUUCACUUUUUGCCCUUCCACCCCGGUCCCCAGCAGAUUGACACAAAGUUCAGAUAUUUUCCUUUUAUCUCAGAAACCAUGCCCAUCCUCUGCUUUUUGGGGUGCCUGUGGGUGUCUUCAGAGAACAAGGAGGUCUCCUGCUGCCUCAUUUUCCCUCAAAACGGUCUGCUCAGUUCUAUAAUGGUCAUAUCUAGGGAAGUAUCUUACAGGGUCCCUAAAGACAACUUAAAAAAGAGUUUUUAAUCCAAAUAUGGCAUAUGAAUCAGUCUGGGAAAAGCCACAACCCAUAGGUUUCUCCCUGGGAUGAGGAGUGAGUGGUUCACCCUUUCCACUGAGAAAGUUUGUGUUUAAGCACAGAUUUUUGUUCUGGUAGUCAUGAGAUUUGGCCAACAGCUUUGUUUUGCCAAAGAAAGGUCAGUUGCUUGGCACACAGGAGUCUCCAAUGCUGGCCAGAAGGGCAUCCUCUCCACACCACAAGGCUUCUCUCGAGAUAGCAGUAACCAUGGCCCAUGGAUGUUGGAGUUGAAGGUGACAGUGUCAAGAUCUUAGCUGAAUGGCUGGCCGUGUGGCCUAGUGGUUAAGGGAGUCAGAUCCCAAAAGACCAACUGAGGUC